GCUUGUCUCAAAGAUUAAGCCAUGCAUGUCUAAGUAUAAAUGUUAUACAGUGAAACUGCGAAUGGCUCAUUAAAACAGUUAUAGUUUAUUUGAUAAUCGAAUUUACAUGGAUAACCGUGGUAAUUCUAGAGCUAAUACAUGCUAAAAACCCCGACUUCGGAAGGGGUGUAUUUAUUAGAUACAAAACCAAUGCCCUUCGGGGCUCCUUGGUGAUUCAUGAUAACUAUACGAAUCGCACGGCCUUGCGCCGGCGAUGGUUCAUUCAAAUUUCUUCCCUAUCAACUUUCGAUGUUUGGGUAUUGGCCAAACAUGGUUGCAACGGGUAACGGAGGGUUAGGGCUCGACCCCGGAGAAGGAGCCUGAGAAACGGCUACUACAUCCAAGGAAGGCAGCAGG
RNAcentral lists this ribosomal RNA (396 nucleotides) under Sarocladium strictum. RNAcentral's name for it is "partial small subunit ribosomal RNA". It matches the Rfam family "Eukaryotic small subunit ribosomal RNA", at positions 30 to 432 of the family's 1831-position model. Lineage: Eukaryota; Fungi; Ascomycota; Sordariomycetes; Hypocreales; Sarocladiaceae. The record is from RNAcentral.